Molecule: ribosomal RNA, 406 nt
Filed under: uncultured bacterium
Lineage: Bacteria
Description: partial 16S ribosomal RNA
Rfam family: Bacterial small subunit ribosomal RNA
Source: RNAcentral
AUUGAACGCUGGCGGCAGGCCUAACACAUGCAAGUCGAACGAGUGGCGGACGGGUGAGUAAUGUCUGGGAAACUGCCUGAUGGAGGGGGAUCACUACUGGAAACGGUAGCUAAUACCGCAUACCCUCAGAUGUGCCCAGUUGGGAUUAGCUUGUUGGUGGGGUAACGGCUCACCAGGGCGACGAUCCCUAGCUGGUCUGAGAGGAUGACAAGCAAAACGGGAACUGAGACCCGGUCCAGACUCCUACGGGAGGAGGCGGUGGGGAGUAGUUCACAAUGGGCGAAAGCCUGAUGCAGCCAUGCCGCGUGUAUGAAGAAGGCCUUCGGGUUGUAAAGUACUUUCAGCGGGGAGGCGUUACCCGCAGAGGAAGCACCGGCUAACUCCGUGCCAGCAGCCGCGGUAAUAC